UCUGGUAGUCAGCCUCUUGUGGCGUGUUCGAGGGGUCGUCGUGCCUCACUUCUUGUAUGUGGCAACUAUGGUGGCUUCGGGCGAAGUCAGGGUUGUUGUUGUGCUCUGGUAGUCGGUCUCUUCCAGCGUGUUCGGGGGGUCGUCAUGCCUCACUUCGUCUCUCUGAAGUAGGAGCUGUUGAGGAUGACUUGGCGACGCUGACACGAGGCAAGUGGUCGAUUUCAGCGAUGGCUCGUGGCAAGCCCGAUGCUUUUCUCCUGCAAUGCUCGUCGACAAAGUCCAAACUGGCUGGUCACCGGCGCGUGCGGCUGAGUGUUUGGCAUGGACCGGCGCGGGCCUUGACACUUGUUUGUGGUGAGGGCUUCGUUGGUGUUUGUCGAUGGAGUCGGACUCGCCCUCGCGGAGGCGUGAUGACGAUGAGGCCGAGCUGCAACCUCGACGGCGCUUUUCUCCUCGUCGUGUGUGUGUUUUUGUGUGGAUUGCCAUGUCGCCCUGUGUACCUUAUUUUUGCAGGCGUGAUGUGACGGUCCUAGCCCGGUUUCUCGUUAAUUAACCAUACAAUUCUCUUCUACCUUUUUUUAAUGAAUCGGGCCUUAGGAACCGUGUUUCAAUAAAAAAAUGUCAUUCUCGUCUUUGACGGUAAUUUGUAUGCAUAGGCAAUCGGGUAAUUUUAGAGCAUAGUUCACCUGCUUUACAUUUUCCUUUCAUUAGCUCAUGAGCACAAAUCCACCAGAGACGCCGAGGAAGCAAUAGUUUUACCUUUGACGGUACUUUUUUACGGUGAAGAUUGAUUGCAAGACCAGAGACCCUGCUGUACAUGGAUGAAGAGGUUAUGGUUGGGGCACGGUGGCGGGGUUCGUUUCGCAAAUAGUCAAUAGUAAUGGGCGUGUUACAGCAAAAGUGGCCAAGGCAGAGCUGACCGCCUGGAUCUGGACGGCACAGGAGAGAUCGGACGGCGUCCGAUGGCCAGAGUGCAGAGUACCUAGAGCUGGCCGAGUUCAUAUAAGACGCAGCAACCAUGCCCGAUCCCUUCCUCACUCCCUCUCCUACCCAAAGCUCCAGUGGGUUCCGAUUCCAUGCGGCUCUGAAAUCUCCCAUACAUCCUGCGCCACCGCUACGCUCUGGAGCUGCCGCCCUGCUGUGGCUCGGCGUCGCCACCACCGCACCGCCUCUCGCCGGCCACCCCCGCGGUUCCCGUUGUACCUCAUGGAGUCGCAGCUGCCUCCACCCCGACGGCGGUCUUGGACACUGGUAUUCGAGAUAGAGAGGACGAGCUGCAAGGCGGCCAAGCCUCGCGGGCAGGAGUUGGACACACAUGGAGAGUGCAGACCGAGAGGAUUCUGGCCACGGGGAGCACCGUCGGCGCGGAUUCACCCAUAGCAAAAAUAUGGUGUUAUCCUGAUUGAGCUUUUCUUCUAGCCACCAUCCUCCCCCUUCGCUUCCUCUUCUCACCCCGUUGUUUGGGUCUUCUUGACCUUGCAAGACCUUUUCUUGACCUUGUAAGACCCAACAAUAUCACGUUUUCUCCCACACUCUUCAUCUUCUUGUUCCACCUUCUUUUCCUUGCCAUGUUCCUUUCCACCCCUCUCUCUUCCAUCUUUCUUUCAUCUAUCCCUCCUGAGCUAUAUUUUUUUAUAGUUGCAUUUCUUAUAUUCAAAGUAUUGGGAACAAGAUGAUACAUGGAGUGACAAGUGAAGGAGAUUCUACCUCCUUUGUCAUACGAUGUGUGUAGAUUCAUCAUUUCCACGUUGUAUUUUCCUUCUUUUGUUUCGGUUGUAGAGAGUACAGUUGAUGAGAUACAAAAGCACAGUCCUUGUUGCCGUAAUGCUCAUGCACGUGGAGUAGGAGCCUACAUGUAAUUGAGCAUGUUUAUGUGUGCCAAUGUUGUAAUAAGUUUGCUAUUCCUGCUUGAAUAGAAACAUUCUGAUGCUGUGGUACUGUUGAGAAGAACUGUUCAUUUUGGCA
Molecule: long non-coding RNA, 1965 nt
Organism: Triticum urartu
Lineage: Eukaryota; Viridiplantae; Streptophyta; Magnoliopsida; Poales; Poaceae
Source: RefSeq, a predicted model, not a curated record